UUUUGUGAUAGCUCAGUUGGUAGAGCAUGAGACUCUUAAUCUCAGGGCUGUGGGUUUGAGCUCCACAUUGAUCGAAAG
Non-coding RNA from Podarcis lilfordi (Lilford's wall lizard), 78 nucleotides. Lineage: Eukaryota; Metazoa; Chordata; Lepidosauria; Squamata; Lacertidae. The record is from the annotation of a GenBank genome assembly.